AAGUCGUAACAAGGUUUCCGUAGGUGAACCUGCGGAAGGAUCAUUAAUGAAUUUUAUUCGCUCGCAAGAGUGUUUAUCAUUUUAUCUUUCUUUCAUAUUGAAAUUGUCAGAGUUAUGUCUCGAGAGAGAUUUAGAAAUUAUUAAAACUAUAAACAACGGAUCUCUAGGCUCUU
Molecule: unclassified non-coding RNA, 173 nt
Filed under: fungal sp.
Lineage: Eukaryota; Fungi
Description: partial internal transcribed spacer region
Rfam family: Eukaryotic small subunit ribosomal RNA (bases 1-46)
Source: RNAcentral